RNAcentral lists this unclassified non-coding RNA (379 nucleotides) under Hevea brasiliensis (rubber tree). The record is from RNAcentral. Lineage: Eukaryota; Viridiplantae; Streptophyta; Magnoliopsida; Malpighiales; Euphorbiaceae.
ACAAAAAUUACACAGAUGUGAUUAAUGUUUUUACAUUAUAGUUUUUACUGCUUAAAAAUUUGAGCCUGUGUUAGCUCAGGCACUUUAGUUUAUAUAAUGAUAUACUACUACAAGCUAGGCUGAACUUCCUAACAUUAAGUUACAAUCUACCAUAUGAUCAUUCUUAACAAAGUGGUGAAGGCCGAUGAGAACCGAAUUUAGCGAACCAACGAUUCUGGUAUGCAUUAGGGGCUACUGCAGGCUGUUGCUUGUAUGAAGACAUUUCUGGUGCUGCAUAGCGCGGUAGAUUAGCCUGGCCAAACUCUUCAAAUCUGAUGUUUGGUGAUGAAGUGCAUUGCUGCUGGACUAUCUUCUGAGAGCAUAACUCGUCCCCUAUCGG